RNAcentral lists this ribosomal RNA (220 nucleotides) under uncultured bacterium. RNAcentral's name for it is "partial 16S ribosomal RNA". It matches the Rfam family "Bacterial small subunit ribosomal RNA", at positions 111 to 334 of the family's 1533-position model. The record is from RNAcentral.
UAAUGUAUGGGGAUCUGCCCGAUAGAGGGGGAUAACUACUGGAAACGGUGGCUAAUACCGCAUAAUGUCUACGGACCAAAGCAGGGGCUCUUCGGACCUUGCACUGUCGGAUGAACCCAUAUGGGAUUAGCUAGUAGGUGGGGUAAAGGCUCACCUAGGCGACGAUCUCUAGCUGGUCUGAGAGGAUGAUCAGCCACACUGGGACUGAGACACGGCCCAG